GAUGAACGCUGGCGGCGUGCCUAAUACAUGCAAGUCGAGCGGACAGAUGAGGCGCUUGCUCCUCUGACGUUAGCGGCGGACGGGUGAGUAACACGUGGAUAACCUACCUAUAAGACUGGGAUAACUUCGGGAAACCGGAGCUAAUACCGGAUAAUAUCUUGAACCGCAUGGUUCAAUAGUGAAAGACGGUUUUGCUGUCACUUAUAGCUGGAUCCGCGCCGCUUUAGCUAGUUGGUAGGGUAAAGGCUUACCAAGGCUACGAUGCGUAGCCGACCUGAGAGGGGGAUCGGCCACACUGGAACUGGGACACGGUCCAGACUCCUGCGGGAGGCCGCAGUAGGGAAUCUUCCGCAACGGGCGAAAGCCUGACGGAGCAACGCCGCGUGAGUGAUGAAGGUCUUCGGAUCGUAAAACUCUGUUAUUAGUGAAGAACAAAUGUGUAAGUAACUAUGCACGUCUUGACGGUACCUAAUCAGAAAGCCACGGCUAACUACGUG
Molecule: ribosomal RNA, 497 nt
Filed under: uncultured bacterium
Lineage: Bacteria
Description: partial 16S ribosomal RNA
Rfam family: Bacterial small subunit ribosomal RNA
Source: RNAcentral